ACGCAGCAAAUGUUGGAAUACAAACAGAAAAGCUUGAAAACCUCCGUAUAUCAAUAGCAAAGGGCUCUCCAAUGUGGGAAACUCUUGAUCGUUGUGUCGAUGUUAUUGAUUCCCAGUCAUUGGAAUUAUUGGUACCUCGGGUCGCUAAUGUGGGAAACUCUUGAUCGUUGUGUCGGUGUUAUUGAUUCCCAGUCAUUGGAAUUAUUGGUACCUCGUGUUGCUCAGUUAGUUCGUGUUGGUGUUGGAUUAAAUACCAGGUAUAUUGCAGGUUCCACAUGGUAA
This 282-nucleotide long non-coding RNA is filed under the name Nicotiana benthamiana. RNAcentral describes it as "long non-coding RNA (NBEN_LNC003073)". Lineage: Eukaryota; Viridiplantae; Streptophyta; Magnoliopsida; Solanales; Solanaceae. The record is from RNAcentral.